AGCGAGGAAUAUUGGUCAAUGGGCGCAAGCCUGAACCAGCCAUCCCGCGUGAAGGAUGAAGGCCCUAUGGGUCGUAAACUUCUUUUAUACACCAAGAAAAAGCAGGACGUGUCCUGCCCCGACGGUAGUGUAUGAAUAAGCAUCGGCUAACUCCGUGCCAGCAGCCGCGGUAAUACGGAGGAUGCGAGCGUUAUCCGGAUUCAUUGGGUUUAAAGGGUGCGUAGGCGGCUUUUUAAGUCAGUGGUGAAAUCCUGUCGCUUAACGAUAGAAUUGCCAUUGAUACUGAAGAGCUUGAGUACAAUUGAGGUAAGCGGAAUGUGUAGUGUAGCGGUGAAAUGCUUAGAUAUUACACAGAACACCGAUUGCGAAGGCAGCUUACUAAACUGUUACUGACGCUGAUGCACGAAAGCGUGGGGAGCGAACAGGAUUAGAUACCCUGGUAGUCCACGCCGUAAACGAUGAUCACUCGCUGUAUGCGAUACACAGUAUGCGGCCAAGCGAAAGCAUUAAGUGAUCCACCUGGGGAGUACGAUCGCAAGGUUGAAACUCAAAGGAAUUGACGGGGGCCCGCACAAGCGGAGGAACAUGUGGUUUAAUUCGAUGAUACGCGAGGAACCUUACCUGGGCUUAAAUGGGGAACGACAGCAGCCGAAAGGUUGCCUUCUUCGGACGUUCUUCAAGGUGCUGCAUGGUUGUCGUCAGCUCGUGCCGUGAGGUGUCGGGUUAAGUCCCAUAACGAGCGCAACCCUUAUCGUUAGUUGCCAGCGGGUGAUGCCGGGGACUCUAGCGAGACUGCCACCGUAAGGUGUGAGGAAGGUGGGGAUGACGUCAAAUCAGCACGGCCCUUAUGUCCAGGGCUACACACGUGUUACAAUGGCAAGUACAAAGGGCAGCUACCUGGUGACAGGAUGCUAAUCUCUAAAGCUUGUCUCAGUUCGGAUCGAAGUCUGCAACCCGACUUCGUGAAGCUGGAUUCGCUAGUAAUCGCAUAUCAGCCAUGAUGCGGUGAAUACGUUCCCGGGCCUUGUACACACCGCCCGUCAAACAAUGGAAGCUGGGGGUACCUGAAGUCUGUAACCGCGAGGAGCGGCCUAGGGUAAAACUAGUAACUGGUGUU
Molecule: ribosomal RNA, 1117 nt
Filed under: uncultured bacterium
Lineage: Bacteria
Description: bacterial SSU rRNA
Rfam family: Bacterial small subunit ribosomal RNA
Source: RNAcentral